CUUUGCCUCGCCAUCUCCAUAUUCGUAGCAUUUUCCAAAUGCAAAUUUCCAUAUUCGGAUAUAAAAAACAAAGCAGCUUUGCUCCUCUGAGCUUAGCACGGUAACCAGCCAUGCUUUAUACCACACCCGAUCGCUUCUCUUCUUCUGCCUCUCCUUUGCUUUCUUCGCUGUCUCGAAAACCCAUCUUUCUCCUUUCGAGAAAACUGCGAGUGAGCAGCUGGGUGAGUCGUCGAACUCGUGCCAGUCCUGACUCAUUCGAAGUGCCGAGUGAUUGGUAGCUAUGGUUUCAUGAAUGUUACUAGGUGAUUCGGUUUUUCUUCAUGAAAAUUUUUUCUCCCAUCCUCUAUUUGGUUCCCCGGAAAACUAAAUGAAAAGAAGAGAAUUUUGAGUCGCUGCUUAUUUUUUUUACUAAUUUUAGGCAUUUGUGGUGUUCAUGUUUAGUGUUUUUCGUUUCUUUUAUUCUACUUUUUUGGGUAAUGUUCAAGCCUUAGCCAAAAGACGAGUAGUUUCUGUUAGGUUUCUAGGAAACUGGAAGAGAACGAAAGAAAAUAAAAUUUUGGAAUUUUUGUUUCGUUUAACUGCCCGAGAAAUUGUGAGAAAAUGAUAAAUAUCCGUGUAUAACUCUAAGUAAACUCGUCAAACAUUUUAAACAUCUUUAAGGAUGGAUGUUAAUUUCGUUGAGGUGGCUAGUCUCGGUUUGUGGAUAGUGAAUAUAAUUAUUUGCUGAGGAUGCAUCAAAUAUAAACAGGAAUUAUAGUAACAAGGAAGCUUGAAUUCUACUUUUUUUUUCAUAAUUAUGAAAUUCAAUUAAUGUUGGAACGUCCCUUUCGUAAAAUUUUUUGUUCGUGGCAUACACGCACAUUCAGGAGCACAUGAAUGUUACUAGGUGGGGUUUUAAUGUGAAUUCUUGUCUCUGUUUGGUUACUGAGAAAAGAAAAAUAAAAGAAUUUUGGAUGAAUGUGGUAUUUCUUUAUGUAAUUUUGAUUGUCAAGUACUCUUUAAUUUGGUUGCUCAGAAAGUGAUGAUAUUUAGUAGAGUAGAAAAAAUGGGUUUAUGUUUGUUGGAUGUUACAUUUCGUACUUAACCUUCCAGUUGGUUGCGGAGGAAAUGUUUGAAAACAAUAUGGUAAAAAGAAGGGAAAGUUUGAAUGUUAUGAUUGUUAUUCAUUACUGCUUGCUAUUCUUUGGUUGAACAAAUAGAUUAGAUAUCUGAACCUCACUAGAGUAGAUAAUUUUGUUUGUGCACAUGCAUCUUGAGAAGCAGAUGCAUGUAAAGGGCAGGUUCCUAGAGAGGUUAUUUAAGCCUUUUUCUUUUGUUGUUGCUAAUAGAUGGUGAGAGAAACCAAACUUAGAUUUUCAUUCUUUAAUAGUUUCCUCCUAAAGUUAGGAUCCUUAAAAAACAGAAACCAUCACUCAAUGUGUUCUUUAUCUUGGUUUAGGAAGCAACAAAAGAAUAUGAAAGAUUUAAAUAUCUUUUUCUUCCCUUUUUUGUUUUUUACCCGCAAAAUGAGGUUUUUGCAUUUGUGAUUGGAAAUUGUUAUUCUCAAUUUUUUGUUAAAUUUUGGGUUUUGAUGCAAAUUUUAUUGAAAGAUGACAUGGAUAAAGGUCUGAACUUUUGUUUCCAGCUAUACUGGGUUUCAGUCAGGGCCAGAUCUUGAAUAUUCAUCUGAAGAUUAUGGGCAAUUAAGAGUUCAAGAUGUUGGAGAAGGGAAUGUAAAAGUCAGGUGCUUUUUUACUGAUACAUGUAUGCACAUGGGCACAAACAUGGAGACAAAUGUUUGCUACUUUUGAUGCAACUUGCAGAAGUUUUACAUCUUCCUACUGAUGCUAUCCAUGGCAGUUCAUCUGCAAGCUUUAUGAAGGAUAAAUAGCUCAGGGUCCAUUUAAGGGCACACCAGUUAUCUUUAAGGUUUACCCCGGACAAUGAGCUGGUGGUAUUGAGGCUGAUAUGAUGGCUGCCAAUGAACUCCAUAGUCAUGCUUUCCUCCAGGGCAGUUCUGAAGGUAUAUGUAGGAAUCUUCUGUUACUUCUUGGUGGAUUUGGGUCAAAAACAGCGGAGCAGGUCUAUCAUUUCAUAUUAACUAUAUAUGAGUUUGCAAGCUGCCUUUUCUUUUGGGCAGCUUUAGAAAUGAAGUACCUUUGUUCUGUAUGGUGGUUCACCUUCCAAGAUGAUGGUAAAUAUAGUGCAGCAGAUUUUGCAAAAGUUACUAGCAAGAAAAUAUCAAAAGCCUUUUCUCUAGAAGAAAAGUCUUGGAAUCCUUUUGAGCGAGAGUAAGCAUUUAAACGCAGAGCAUAAUUUGUCAUUAAGCUAUUAGAGGGUGCUGUAAGUGCUUUAGUCUACAUGUGUAAUCAUGAAAGACUGCACCAGAGUCUUGGACCCUCUUCUGUUGUACUCAGGUAUUUUGUUAGACAAUAUUCAUUUGAAGUCUGGAUUUAUCCUCCUUAAAAACAAUCGGUUUGCUCUGCUUACUUUAAAUGUUUAAUCAACCUUUUUCUUGACUGAUGAUGGUACAAUAGUAGAAAGAGAUGCUGCUUAUUUGGCUGCAAGGCUUCCAGAUCUAGCCUUUUCUGUUGACAUCAGGUUUUCGUAUUUGGAAGAAGAUCCUAGCACAUUCUCAGAGGAUCUUUGAAGAUGAGCAUCUUCUGCUGGUGCAUUCACACCUAUGGAGAGAAGAGCCUUUGGAAUAGCAGAUGACAUUUAUGAAGCAGGUCUUCUUUUUGCAUACUUGGCCUUUCAUUGCAAUGGCUUUUGGAAAGCACUUCAAACUUGAUCUCAUGGCUACCAGAGAGUGUUGUUUCGCAGAUGACAGCAGGUUAGAAGCUGUCAGAUUUCUAGAUCUUGGUGCUGGUGCUGGUUGGGAAGUACUUCAGGUC
This is a non-coding RNA of Durio zibethinus, 2873 nucleotides long. NCBI's taxonomy places the organism in Eukaryota, Viridiplantae, Streptophyta, Magnoliopsida, Malvales, Malvaceae. The record is from RefSeq and is a predicted model, not a curated record.